Molecule: ribosomal RNA, 468 nt
Filed under: uncultured bacterium
Lineage: Bacteria
Description: partial 16S ribosomal RNA
Rfam family: Bacterial small subunit ribosomal RNA
Source: RNAcentral
GACGAACGCUGGCGGCGUGCUUAACACAUGCAAGUCGAACGGAAAGGCCCUGCCUUUGUGGGGUGCUCGAGUGGCGAACGGGUGAGUAACACGUGAGUAACCUGCCCUUGACUCUGGGAUAACUUCAGGAAACUGGGGCUAAUACCGGAUAGGAGCUCCUGCUGCAUGGUGGGGGUUGGAAAGUUUCGGCGGUUGGGGAUGGACUCGCGGCUUAUCAGCUUGUUGGUGGGGUAGUGGCUUACCAAGGCUUUGACGGGUAGCCGGCCUGAGAGGGUGACCGGCCCGAUUGGGACUGAGAUGCGGCCCAGACGCCUACAGGAGGCAGCAGUGGGGAAUAUUGCGCAGUGGGCGGAAGCCUGAUGCAGCAGCGCCGCGUGCGGGAUGACGGCCUUCGGGUUGUAAACCGCUUUCGCCUGUGACGAAGCGUGAGUGACGGUAAUGGGUAAAGAAGCGCCGGCUAACUACGUG